AUUGAACGCUGGCGGCAUGCCUUACACAUGCAAGUCGAACGGCAGCACGGGAGCAAUCCUGGUGGCGAGUGGCGAUCGGGUGAGUAAAGUAUCGGAACGUGCCCAGUCGUGGGGGAUAACGUAGCGAAAGUUACGCUAAUACCGCAUACGAUCUAUGGAUGAAAGCGGGGGAUCGCAAGACCUCGCGCGAUUGGAGCGGCCGAUAUCAGAUUAGGUAGUUGGUGGGGUAAAGGCUCACCAAGCCGACGACCUGUAGCUGGUCUGAGAGGACGACCAGCCACACUGGGACUGAGACACGGCCCAGACUCCUACGGGAGGCAGCAGUGGGGAAUUUUGGACAAUGGGCGAAAGCCUGAUCCAGCCAUGCCGCGUGCAGGAUGAAGGCCUUCGGGUUGUAAACUGCUUUUGUACGGAACGAAAAGGUUUGGGCUAAUAAGCUGAGCUCAUGACGGUACCGUAAGAAUAAGCACCGGCUAACUACGUGCCAGCCGCCGCCGUAA
RNAcentral lists this ribosomal RNA (500 nucleotides) under uncultured bacterium. RNAcentral's name for it is "partial 16S ribosomal RNA". It matches the Rfam family "Bacterial small subunit ribosomal RNA", at positions 30 to 523 of the family's 1533-position model. The record is from RNAcentral.